Molecule: non-coding RNA, 81 nt
Organism: Marmota monax (woodchuck)
Lineage: Eukaryota; Metazoa; Chordata; Mammalia; Rodentia; Sciuridae
Source: the annotation of a RefSeq genome assembly
GGGGAUGUGGCUCAGUGGUAGAGCGUUUGCCUAGCAUGCUCGAGGCCCUGGGUUCAAGCCCCAGCAUGGUAGUCUUUUUCA